GCGCGAGCCGGCUCCCGCCGCCCGCCCGGCUCUUCUGGAGCCCAACGGUCUCCACGUGAGCGCGCCCGCGCGCUCCGCCACCGCCGGUGCUGACAGGGUCGCCUCACCUGAGCCGGGCUCCGCCCCCCUGCUCGCUGGAGGAGGCGGUGACCCUUCUCCGAUCCGACCUGACAGUAUCGGAGGAGGCGGGAACGUCCAGGCCGGCGUCUCCGCGAUGGGAUUUCCUCCCUCUUCCGCCCACCCCGCCUCUACGUCCCCCGGCUCCUUCAGUCCGUUCGCCGCCGCACUCUGAGAACACCGCGGCGGCGGCCGACAGUAAACGGAAGUGACGUCCGCGAGCGAGCCUACUCCGCUCCAUUCUUCCUCCCACCGGCCGUGCUGCAGCCAAUGAGAAGGGGAGGGGGCGGGCCCGGGCCCGGAGGACAGCCAAUCGGCGCGCGGAACCCGGAGGAAUUUACUCGGCCCCCCGCAACACCGGCCAAUCCACGGCUCCGGGAGCUCGCUGUGUUUACUACCGACCGAAUCCGUGAGCUCUCUGGCCAAUCACCGUUUGCCUUACAACACGUAAAACUGUUAUCAAACGCCUUCUAAGGCGGGAUUUAUCCCUAAGCGGCUCUAGGUUUGGACUGCGGGGAAGAGACUGUGGGCCGCAGCCAAUGAAGAGCCGUUACGGUUGAGGUCAAACCCAGGCUAAAAACGCGGAACCAGAAAUCCCGUCGGUCCGACAGCACUUGGGUGCGAUGCCGCCCUAAGUCGCUGAGCCGGCGGGUCCCGGCGGCUGCAUCUCCCGGCGCGGGCACGGGAGGAGUCCGGCGGGGCUGCCGGCGCCGACUCGCCCUGCGCUCCGCCCUCCGAUACGGGUCCGGUACACCUGCCAGCUCCAGAACCGCCGUGGAAGGCCCGCGCACUUCCGUGGGACGCCGCCAGAGCUGGCUCCGGGGCGGCUGCCGGGCUCCCAGGUGGCUCCCGAGCUCCCGGGGACACGCUCGGACGCAGAGCCCGAGAGCCUCCCGGGGGCGCCGGGCCCUGGGCGGGGAGGAAGCCCUCCUGCCCCCGGUGAAGAGAAGCGGGCGGGUAAGGGGCCUGCCGGCGGAGCUGUCCGGGAGCUGUGCGAGCCUCGGGAGACAAAGGCGGGCUGGGGAUCGCCGCUGGAGUCUUCUCGGGGUGAGGUGGGGGUAAGAGGGAGACUUUAAAAAAAUGGAACACCCCGUUUCUUCAGAACGAAAUGCCUGAAUAUCGUUACAGCUGAUCCAUCCAUUCCGACGUUACAGGUUGGAAAAGCUGCCCUUUGGAUUUAUGUCUUUACUCAAUGAAGUCGGCUGCGAAAUUCUUUUCAUUAA
This is a long non-coding RNA of Canis lupus familiaris (dog), 1340 nucleotides long. RefSeq lists it as uncharacterized. The record is from RefSeq and is a predicted model, not a curated record. Lineage: Eukaryota; Metazoa; Chordata; Mammalia; Carnivora; Canidae. The transcript has 2 exons.